UAACAAAUCCUGACCAUGCAGUCAGGUUUUUGUAAAGAGGAUAAUCACUGUGUGAAUUCUGGUGUGAAGCUAAUAUUUGGAAAUGGAACAAGACUGACAAUAGAAGCAAAAGAAGAAUCAAAAACAGCAGCCUUUGUCUUAGGAUCUGACAAAGACAAUAAGGAAGGCAAAGCCAGAGCCUGUCUCAUCACAGACUUCAGUUUCCAUAACAUCAGUGUUAAUUUGGGAGCUGCAGAUGUUCCUAUAGAGACUUCAGUAAUUAAAGGAGACAAGCAAUACAGUGUGGUAGCAUUUCUCCCAGAAAGCAAAGUGAGAUCAAACUUCAAAUGCAAUGUAGUUGUUAAUGGCAGUAUGACUACAGGACACAACAAUGAUAUAGAAAAUGUGUGUGAGUCUGACUUGGCAUACGUUUUUGAAUCAGAUGAGAAGCUGAACUCUUUGUCUUUGAUGGUGCUGGGUCUGAGAGUCAUAUUUCUGAAGAGCAUUGCAUUCAAUGUGCUCAUGACAAUCAGAGCGUGGAUGAGUUAGGAUACAUCAAAUAUAUGACCAAGACAUGGAUUGUUGAACCAAAAGGAAUGAAGCAAACAUUUUAUUAAAGCAGUUUUCAGAAGUUCUAGGCUUGUGGGUUUGAUUAGGCUUUACAGAUAUUAUUGGAAAUUGAAAAUACUUUGCCAUACUUUUAGCAGUAAGGUUUUGUAAUGGCAAUAUGCUUUAGAAUGCAAUAUUAAAAUAAUCAAAUUUGCUUAUAAAAUGCAUGUAGCCUUUAUCAAGAUAUUUUUUCAAUGUGCUUAAAAUAUAGAUUGUAAACUGUCUGGUUUGAUUAUGUUAGUUAACUAAACAAUGCACUGUAUUUCACAGAGCUUUAACUCAAACAUUAUUUUUUAAAACAUCCAUCAACGAAACUGGGAACUGAUCAAAUGGGAAGCUGUUGUUGAAGAAAUUGUUUAAGCUCAGCUCUUUUGGAAAGAGAAUAGUGGCACAUCUACGUGGUUCCUGUUACUGUGCAAACACAAUGCACACAUGUACUAGUUAGUUAUGAGUGAAAGCUUUGUGAAUAGGUGCCAAAGUAAUUACAAACAGUGAAUAUUCAAAAUAUAUAUUAUUGGAUAUAUUGAACAGUGCAUAGUAACUUGAAUCAGCAACAUUGUUCUGUUAAAUAAGCAGAAUUUCAUUAGAAAAGUAUGUGCUUUGCCAUUUAUCCUUCAUGUAGCUUAUGCUAGUAUAUAUUGAUUACAUAUUAAAUGUACAAAAUUGUGCGUUUUCACCAUGUCUGUAUCACAUAUAAAAUACUGUAAUAAUAAUUAAAAAAAAAUUAUUACAAAAAUAA
This is a non-coding RNA of Acipenser ruthenus (sterlet), 1327 nucleotides long. Lineage: Eukaryota; Metazoa; Chordata; Actinopteri; Acipenseriformes; Acipenseridae. The record is from the annotation of a RefSeq genome assembly.